CAGGAGAGAUGUGACCGCUUACGCCAAAGCGUAAGAGGAAAGUCCGGGCUCCUCCGGAAAAAAUGCCGGGUAAUACCCGGGCGGUUUUGUCCGUUUUGCGGAUAGGGCCGACAGAGAGCGUAACAGAAAGCAAACCGCCAGAUGCCAAUGUGCGUAGUAUAUUUGCAUCUGGUAAGGGUGAAAGGGCGGGGUAAGAGCCCACCGCGGGUCCGGUAACGGACUUGGCAGUACAAGCCUCAUUUGGAGCAAGGUCACGCAGUAACUGUAGUUCCGGUAUGACAAAAUCGUUGGUUUUGUCCGGUUACGGGUAGACCGCUGGAAACGCCGGGCGACCGGCGCUGUGGAUAGAUGGUCACGCCAAAUUUUUGGUGACAGAACCCGGCUUAUGGUCUCUCCUGUUUU
RNAcentral lists this RNase P RNA (402 nucleotides) under Treponema sp. RNAcentral's name for it is "RNase P RNA component class A". It matches the Rfam family "Bacterial RNase P class A". From Rfam's summary of the family: Ribonuclease P (RNase P) is a ubiquitous endoribonuclease, found in archaea, bacteria and eukarya as well as chloroplasts and mitochondria. Lineage: Bacteria; Pseudomonadati; Spirochaetota; Spirochaetia; Treponematales; Treponemataceae. The record is from RNAcentral.